RNAcentral lists this long non-coding RNA (740 nucleotides) under Ananas comosus (pineapple). RNAcentral describes it as "long non-coding RNA (ACOM_LNC033888)". Lineage: Eukaryota; Viridiplantae; Streptophyta; Magnoliopsida; Poales; Bromeliaceae. The record is from RNAcentral.
UGAUUUGCUGUGUUAUGUAUUUAAACUAGGAUUAAUUCUAUAUGGUACCCUUUGGUUUGGGUAUAAGCAAGAACUAACUAUUACAUGGAUAAGUAUAAGUAUGAGGAUAAGAAAAAUAGCGUUUGGAUGAAAAUUGGGUUGUUUCCGGGGAUAAGAAAAAUAGCGUUUAGAUAGAUAAUAUGGAAUAAGAAAAAUAUUAGAUAGUUUUAUAUAGAAAAUAAAGGUAUUGGUGGGGAUAGUUAUAACCGGUUAUUAUAAGUAACCGAGAAUUACUGUUCUUAGAUAAAAAAUUAGCGUUUGUGUAUAAAAGGGGGGAUAAGGGCCUAUCCCUAUCCCUAUCCCUGUCCCCUAACCAAACACUCUUGUAAAUACCGUGAAUGAUAAAUAUAUUCAUACAAAGUUCAAUUUUUAUAUAUUCUUUCUGCAAAAGUAUUGAUGUUUUCAGAUAUGCCUAUCUGAUUUGUUACUAUUAGAAAACUGUUUAUAUUUGUAAUUUUGCCAUCAUACAUAUAUCUCUCCAAAAAUUAUAAUAAUAUAAUAUAAAAAAGUAAAAAUAUCAAAAACUAAUUAGAAUUAAGUAUUUAAUUUAUGAUUAAUUAAAAUUUUCUAACGAAUUCUAAUCACAGGAAUAUAUUUAAAAAUAUCAUAAUUUUUAUAGAAACUGAAAAUUAAAUUUUAUAAGAAUAUAUUUAUUAUUUACUAUAUUUGCCGGUUAAACUAUCAUAUUAUAUGCUUUUACA